UGAGCAGGAUAAAUGGUCGCGGGAGAAAUCCUGAGGAAAGUCCGGGCUUCGCAGGGCAGGAUGCCGGAUAACGUCCGGUGGAGGCAACUCCCAGGAAAGUGCAACAGAAAUAUACCGCCGCAUUUCGGUGCGGUAAGGGUGGAAUGGCAGUGUAAGAGACUACCGCCUGGCUGGUAACAGACAGGGCACAUGUAAACCCCAUCCGAAGCAAGACUAAUAGAAAGCAUAAGGUGGCCCGCCUGCUUUCGGGUAAGUCGCUAGAGCCUGUCGGUGACGGCAGGACCAGAUAGAUGACCAUUCACGACAGAACCCGGCUUAUCGUCCUGCUCAGCUG
Molecule: RNase P RNA, 334 nt
Filed under: Lachnospiraceae bacterium
Lineage: Bacteria; Bacillati; Bacillota; Clostridia; Lachnospirales; Lachnospiraceae
Description: RNase P RNA component class A
Rfam family: Bacterial RNase P class A
About the family: Ribonuclease P (RNase P) is a ubiquitous endoribonuclease, found in archaea, bacteria and eukarya as well as chloroplasts and mitochondria.
Source: RNAcentral